UGGCGAACGGGUGAGUAACACGUGGGUGAUCUGCCUUGCACUUCGGGAUAAGCCUGGGAAACUGGGUCUAAUACCGGAUAGGACGAUGGUUUGGAUGCCAUUGUGGAAAGUUUUUUCGGUGUGGGAUGAGCUCGCGGCCUAUCAGCUUGUUGGUGGGGUAAUGGCCUACCAAGGCGUCGACGGGUAGCCGGCCUGAGAGGGUGUACGGCCACAUUGGGACUGAGAUACGGCCCAG
This 235-nucleotide ribosomal RNA is filed under the name uncultured Actinomycetales bacterium. RNAcentral describes it as "partial 16S ribosomal RNA". It matches the Rfam family "Bacterial small subunit ribosomal RNA", at positions 96 to 334 of the family's 1533-position model. Lineage: Bacteria; Bacillati; Actinomycetota; Actinomycetes; Actinomycetales. The record is from RNAcentral.